This 82-nucleotide transfer RNA is filed under the name Candidatus Zixiibacteriota bacterium. Its description in RNAcentral is "candidate division Zixibacteria bacterium tRNA-Leu". It matches the Rfam family "tRNA". Rfam says of the family: Transfer RNA (tRNA) molecules are approximately 80 nucleotides in length. Lineage: Bacteria; Pseudomonadati; Candidatus Zixiibacteriota. RNAcentral also lists the same sequence under 1 other name. The record is from RNAcentral.
GCGGAAGUGGUGGAAUCGGUAGACACGCCAUCUUGAGGGGGUGGUGCCGAAAGGUGUGGGGGUUCAAAUCCCCCCUUCCGCA